Molecule: ribosomal RNA, 460 nt
Filed under: uncultured bacterium
Lineage: Bacteria
Description: partial 16S ribosomal RNA
Rfam family: Bacterial small subunit ribosomal RNA
Source: RNAcentral
CCUACGGGGGACAGCAGUGAGGAAUAUUGGUCAAUGGGCGCGAGCCUGAACCAGCCAAGUCGCGUGAGGGAUGAAGGUUCUAUGGAUCGUAAACUUCUUUUAUAAGGGAAUAAAGUGUGGGACGUGUCCUAUUUUGUAUGUACCUUAUGAAUAAGGAUCGGCUAACUCCGUGCCAGCAGCCGCGGUAAUACGGAGGAUCCGAGCGUUAUCCGGAUUUAUUGGGUUUAAAGGGUGCGUAGGCGGCCUUGUAAGUCAGCGGUGAAAGGCUGUGGCUCAACCAUAGAAUUGCCGUUGAAACUGGGGGGCUUGAGUAUGUUAGAGGCAGGCGGAAUGCGUGGUGUAGCGGUGAAAUGCUUAGAUAUCACGCAGAACCCCGAUUGCGAAGGCAGCCUGCCGGGCCAUGACUGACGCUGAUGCACGAAAGCGUGGGGAUCGAACAGGAUUAGAUACCCCGGUAGUC